This 522-nucleotide non-coding RNA is filed under the name Colchicum cuspidatum. The record is from RNAcentral. Lineage: Eukaryota; Viridiplantae; Streptophyta; Magnoliopsida; Liliales; Colchicaceae.
CAAAUCUUUAUGUUAAGAAAACAAAGGAUAGGUGCAGAGACUCAAUGGAAGCUGUUCUAACAAAUGGAAUUGACGUUGACUACGUUGCGUUGGUAGCUGAAUCCCUCUAUCGAAAUUACAGAAAGGAUGACCCUAUAUGCGUAUAUAUACAUACUGACAUAUCAAACGAUUAAUCACAACUCGAAUCUGGAAUCCAUAUUAUUAACUAUAGUUAUAUAUUAUAACUAUAUAUUAUAGUUAUUAUUAUAUAUAUUUUAUUUAUAGUUAAAAAAAGAUAUAUAUACAUUUUUUUUUAAUUUAUAGAUUAAUUAAGAGUUAUUAUAAAUAUAUUCCAGUCGAAGUUGAAGGAAGAAUCGAAUAUUCAGUAUUCAGUGAUCAAAUCAUUCAUUCCGGAGUCGGAUAGAUCUUUUGAAAAAAUGAUUAAUCGGACGAGAAUAAAGAGAGAGUCCCGUUCUACGUGUCAAUACCGACAGCAAUGAAAUUUAUAGUAUUAGGAAAAUCCGUCGACUUUAGAAAUCGUGA